GUCUUACGCAAGGAAAUAGCCAAUCAAACUGAACUUAGUCAAUUGUAGUUCCAUAUAUAUAGAGACAAUUUCUUUUCUUUCUUCCUUUUUUGGCACCUUAUUUUAGGCCUGUAGUAUUGAUUUUGGACUCAGUGGCUAGGAGAAUUAUUACUUUAGGGGAAUUGUCACACUAAUUUCAGUGGAACUAUUUUUUUUAGAUGCACAUGAUGCAACUUCCUGGAUGGUGCUGAGCCUGUUUGUCAACAUAUGGAACCCACGUGUAUUUGGGGGAGUUGUCUCCCUUGUUAAAGAUCAACAAUGGCGGAUAAAAAAUGCGGGAUGCUGUCUUGUCACCAACGGUGAAAUUUGACACCUGUGUACCCGUAUUUCAACCAAUCGUCUCAGUCCUCUCUGUUGUGUACAUCAGACAGAUGAUGGACCACUCUACUUCCUUUUACAACAGGUGCCCCUACAAAUUCACAAAGUUCCAAUGUUGAAUUUCCAUGACCCCGAUUGAUCCGCGACAGGAGAAGGAAUGAAGUUGGCAGGACUUUCCGCACUGUCCUUGGUAGCAGCUGAUGAUGGAACGGACAGCUGUUGACAUGGCCCGUUUCAUCAAAGAUGCACCGGAAGCAGCAGCACUAUCUCCAUCACUGGUGAAAUGGGAAAUGAUGAGUGGACGGUCAUCACUUUGCAGCUCACUGAUGCAUUCCGCAGCCCAUCUCUUUUCGUCUCCAAUGGUGGUCUCUGGAGGAAUGGUUGCAGUGCGGCCUUCAUGUCCGGGGCAGGUAACUUCCUUCCCCUUGGCUCUAAGAUAGGUGCCUUUCUUGCACAGUUUAUUGCCACAAAACACUGCCACAACAUUCUUCUUCUUGGUAACAUUUUCACUUAAAGUGUAUGUCACUUGUGUGGCAGCUUGGAAUGGUGUUUUCCCUAUUGCACUGAAGGUGGCAUUGUUAUACCGGGCAUCUCCUUCCGCUCUUAUAGGUGUAUUGGCAAGUCCACAUUUCUCGUUAAGCUCUUGAAUGUCCUGCCUUAUUUUCUUCAUGCUGUUUUUGUUCACGUCAGUGAUGAUUUUGCCUACUUUGUUGCAGGUCUGAUGAAUGUUUGUGGCUGAUGCUGGUUCGAUGUUUGCGCCAAGAAGCAUACCACGCAUACCCUCUGUUGUAAGGCUGGUACCCAAGUGACCGACAGCCAUGGCAACAUAAAGCUGUGCGGCUCUCCGUCCCCUUCCUGAUCGACUGACUUCCUCGUACAGCUUUUCACUGUGACUGGUGUAAUGGCACUUCUUACAUCGAAUGGAAAGGAUCCAUGCCAGGCCUCUCUUUUCCUCCCCAUGCUGGUUCCAGUCCAGUGAACCGUCACAGUCCGGGAAUUCCUAGCUGCCAUGUCUUCUAAGAGGAACCCCCAUCUUUGAUGACUGAUGGAAAAGCCUCAUCACCCCCCAUUGCUUAAGAACCUCUUAUCUUAAUCACUAGCCAUUAAUCAGUGACCACCGUUAUCAACGCUCCAAGAUGCGCAUGAUGCAACUUCCUGGAUGGUGCUGAGCCUGUUUGUCAACAUGUGGAACCCACGUGUAUUUGGGGGUAGGUAUGUUUACUCUCAAUUAUCUCUCUUAGAAACCGCAUAAGGCGUUAUUUUUCUGAUCUUAAAUUUUUCUUGAAGCAAUUAACUAAAAUUUCUCUUUCAUGAAUUAUAUGCUGAGAGUAUAGUUAAUUAAUUAACUGAAUUAAAGCUAUAUAGUAACAUAUUGAAAUUUAAUUGUAGAUUAAAUUAUUAUUUAUA
Magallana angulata is the source of this 1764-nucleotide long non-coding RNA. RefSeq lists it as uncharacterized. The transcript is spliced from 7 exons. The record is from RefSeq and is a predicted model, not a curated record. NCBI's taxonomy places the organism in Eukaryota, Metazoa, Mollusca, Bivalvia, Ostreida, Ostreidae.